RNAcentral lists this non-coding RNA (27 nucleotides) under Mus musculus (house mouse). Lineage: Eukaryota; Metazoa; Chordata; Mammalia; Rodentia; Muridae. The record is from RNAcentral.
GACAUGUAUAGAUGGCACUUUAGAAUA